UCUGCAGUGGAACUCAA
Molecule: unclassified non-coding RNA, 17 nt
Filed under: Mus musculus (house mouse)
Lineage: Eukaryota; Metazoa; Chordata; Mammalia; Rodentia; Muridae
Description: oocyte_clustered_small_RNA11975
Source: RNAcentral